Molecule: ribosomal RNA, 305 nt
Filed under: uncultured bacterium
Lineage: Bacteria
Description: bacterial SSU rRNA
Rfam family: Bacterial small subunit ribosomal RNA
Source: RNAcentral
CCUACGGGGGGCAGCAGUGAGGAAUAUUGGUCAAUGGGCGGUAGCCUGAACCAGCCAAGUAGCGUGAAGGAUGAAGGUUCUAUGGAUUGUAAACUUCUUUUAUAAAGGAAUAAAGUGAGGCACGUGUGCCUUUUUGUAUGUACUUUAUGAAUAAGGAUCGGCUAACUCCGUGCCAGCAGCCGCGGUAAUACGUAGGAUCCGAGCGUUAUCCGGACUUGUUGGGUUUAAAGGGAGCGUAGAUGGGUUGUUAAGUCAGUUGUGAAAGUUUGUGGAUCAACGGUAAAAUUGAAAUUGAUAUUGGGGUU